UUUUCUUUUUUCCCCCCAUUAGGAAAGAUACUUACAUGUUUUAUUCAAAAUUCUUUUAAGCCACCACCAAAGAAGAGAAAGAAAUUAACAUAAUAACUCUCCGGGUGGUUCCCUGUUUACAAAGUAAGUUUAACUUUUACUUUGUUUUCCUUCAGAGCCCUAAAUUCAACUCCUACUUUAUUCCAUAUUUCCAUUUUCAGUCAUCCUUGAUGCCUGAAAUGAUUUAGUUGAUGCCAUAUUGAUUUCGUUCUUGUUUGCUUCCUCAAAAUGUUUCUCAUUUUUCUGUCCCCUUGGCUCAUUUCUAAGUGUGUUUUCUAAUGUCCAUAUCCUGCACAAUUGCCAGCAGCACCAUGACCUAGGGAGGACCCUCAUUAUGAACUGCAUUCUACAGGAAAAAAGACGCACGUCCCCUUCAAAUGAUGUGGCUUGCCCCAUGGAAAACAGAGUUGGUGUCUGAGUCAGGAAAAAUGAGGAUGAUCAAGAGUGGUUGCUUCAGGGACCUUCCACACUGCUAAGGCCACCUCUAUUUUUCCAGACUCCAGGUAUAUUUUAAAAUGAAGACAUGUCAAAAUAGGUUUCUGUUGUAGUUAAAAUGUUUACACCUAUUAGCAAUUAUAUUUGUAUGAGAGUUGAAGGCUCUUCCAACACUGUCAGUGUACUUCUGUGACAGUAUGUAUCUAAACUCAUUUGGAAAUAAACAAUAAUUGUCUAAUUUUGGCCCUUAAUUGAGGUCCUAGCUUAAUGCCCUCUUUUCUCAUAAAGGAAUGCCCUUACAUGAACAUUAGGACUUUAGAGGACAGCAGUGGUGGCAACAGUGGAGUUGACUGCAGCUGGGGCAAAGGUAGCAGGUUAAUACCAGCUAACACCUCCAGAGCAUUUGCCAUGUGCCAGGGACAAUGCUAAGUAUUUUAUGUGUGCUAACACUAUGCUUUCUUAGGCAGGUACUAUUAUUAUCUGCUUUUUUUAACAGAUGAAGAAACCGAGCCACACAGAGGUUAAAUAACUUGCCCAAGGGUGCACAACUACUAGUAGUAUUGAGUCUAUACGCUUAAGUAUUGUGCUAUUCCAUUUCUUACUGAAUACAAAGCAAAAAAACAUAAGGAUCAGAGGAGGAGUGUGAGUGUCCUCAUACUCACAGCAAAAGGAGGGAAUUCAGGAGAGGAUUGAAGAAGCGGUUCCUGUUUUUGAGGCAUUUGCAAUCAUUGCUGGAGAGACAGAACCAACAGAUGGGGAACAAUGGUCAGGGACUCCAGGCCUGAUUUAAGCCAAUGCCGCCCUGUGGUCUUUACCCACGAAUGGUGUGGAAAAUGAGAGCAGGGAAGAGGAUUUACUCACUGGCUGUGGAGUUAGGUCAGAAGGGGGAUGGAAAGAAGGAACCGGAUGGCUUUGGGGACAUUUCUUAAUCUUUAGGCUUCACCUUCCUUAACUGAAAAUAAAGCCAUAAGUUACCUCCAGAA
Homo sapiens (human) is the source of this 1457-nucleotide non-coding RNA. NCBI's taxonomy places the organism in Eukaryota, Metazoa, Chordata, Mammalia, Primates, Hominidae. The record is from RefSeq and is a predicted model, not a curated record.